UGGGUUGUAGUUCAGUGGUAGAGCGCUCGCCUCGCAUGUUCGAGACCCUGGGUUCAAUCCUCAGCACCACAG
Molecule: transfer RNA, 72 nt
Filed under: Ictidomys tridecemlineatus (thirteen-lined ground squirrel)
Lineage: Eukaryota; Metazoa; Chordata; Mammalia; Rodentia; Sciuridae
Description: Spermophilus tridecemlineatus (thirteen-lined ground squirrel) tRNA
Rfam family: tRNA
About the family: Transfer RNA (tRNA) molecules are approximately 80 nucleotides in length. Their secondary structure includes four short double-helical elements and three loops (D, anti-codon, and T loops). Further hydrogen bonds mediate the characteristic L-shaped molecular structure. tRNAs have two regions of fundamental functional importance: the anti-codon, which is responsible for specific mRNA codon recognition, and the 3' end, to which the tRNAs corresponding amino acid is attached (by aminoacyl-tRNA synthetases). tRNAs cope with the degeneracy of the genetic code in two manners: having more than one tRNA (with a specific anti-codon) for a particular amino acid; and 'wobble' base-pairing, i.e. permitting non-standard base-pairing at the 3rd anti-codon position.
Source: Rfam by way of RNAcentral